UACGGAGGAUCCAAGCGUUAUCCGGAUUCAUUGGGUUUAAAGGGUCCGCAGGCGGAAUAUUAAGUCAGUGGUGAAAUCGUACGGCUCAACCGUGCAACUGCCAUUGAUACUGGUAUUCUUGAGUAUAGUUGAGGUGGGCGGAAUAUGUCAUGUAGCGGUGAAAUGCAUAGAUAUGACAUAGAACACCGAUUGCGAAGGCAGCUCACUAAACUAUUACUGACGCUCAGGGACGAAAGCUAGGGUCACGAAUCGG
This 253-nucleotide unclassified non-coding RNA is filed under the name uncultured Cryomorphaceae bacterium. RNAcentral describes it as "contains 16S-23S intergenic spacer region". It matches the Rfam family "Bacterial small subunit ribosomal RNA", at positions 524 to 776 of the family's 1533-position model. Lineage: Bacteria; Pseudomonadati; Bacteroidota; Flavobacteriia; Flavobacteriales; Cryomorphaceae. The record is from RNAcentral.